GGGCCCGUAGCUUAGUUGGUUGGAGCACCCGGCUCAUAACCGGGGGGUCAAGGGUUCAAGUCCCUUCGGGCCCA
This 74-nucleotide transfer RNA is filed under the name Methanobacteriota archaeon. RNAcentral describes it as "Euryarchaeota archaeon (marine metagenome) tRNA-Ile". It matches the Rfam family "tRNA". From Rfam's summary of the family: Transfer RNA (tRNA) molecules are approximately 80 nucleotides in length. Their secondary structure includes four short double-helical elements and three loops (D, anti-codon, and T loops). Further hydrogen bonds mediate the characteristic L-shaped molecular structure. tRNAs have two regions of fundamental functional importance: the anti-codon, which is responsible for specific mRNA codon recognition, and the 3' end, to which the tRNAs corresponding amino acid is attached (by aminoacyl-tRNA synthetases). tRNAs cope with the degeneracy of the genetic code in two manners: having more than one tRNA (with a specific anti-codon) for a particular amino acid; and 'wobble' base-pairing, i.e. permitting non-standard base-pairing at the 3rd anti-codon position. RNAcentral also lists the same sequence under 2 other names. The record is from RNAcentral. Lineage: Archaea; Methanobacteriati; Methanobacteriota.